GCUACACACCUUUCGACUUGACUAAAUUUUUCCGAAAUAUUUUUAAAAUUCCCGUAAAAUUAAAUACAAUCUCUUGGAAAUUUGAUUUUCAGUAUGCCCGGGAAAAAGCGAGUCACCGCCAAGAAAACUGCGACUAUCGCAGUGGAUAAUGUGAUUCCCAAUAGUGUUGCAGGGUCACCAGCAGCCGUUGAGGCUCCAGAGAAAACUGUUCCUGCCGUUAAGAAGGCCAAAGCCAAGAGCAAGUCGAAGACCAAAAGCAAGUAGAUCAAUAUGGGAAUAUUAUAAUAUUGGAAUUUUACAAAUCAUCAAGCAAACACACAAACGGAACAAUGCCUGACGAAAUCGUAGAACAGAUUAUUGAAGCCAUUCUAUACUGGAUAUCCUAUAAUGCAACUGACUAGCAAAAAAAAUGUAAACUUUAUUGGCCCAGUUAAAACCAGCUAUAAUCUGUUCUGAACAAAUAAAGAGGGAUUUGGAAUUCAAAUGAAACCCUUUUUUAGUUCAAUUUUGCACGAAGCAAGUCAAUAACAUUCGCUCUAGGAACAAGACUUUUUUUUAACAAAUUAACCGAAAUAUAAUAAUAUAACAAAAAGUAACA
Long non-coding RNA from Drosophila innubila, 598 nucleotides. RefSeq lists it as uncharacterized. Lineage: Eukaryota; Metazoa; Arthropoda; Insecta; Diptera; Drosophilidae. The transcript is spliced from 3 exons. The record is from RefSeq and is a predicted model, not a curated record.